RNAcentral lists this ribosomal RNA (1572 nucleotides) under human gut metagenome. RNAcentral's name for it is "bacterial LSU rRNA". It matches the Rfam family "Bacterial large subunit ribosomal RNA", at positions 906 to 2495 of the family's 2925-position model. The record is from RNAcentral.
AGCACUGAAUGUCCUAGGGGGUAUUGCACUUACCGAAGACUAUCAAACUCCGAAUACCGUAUACUUAUGCUUGGGAGUCAGACUAUGGGUGAUAAGAUUCAUAGUCAAAAGGGCAACAGCCCAGAUCGUCAGCUAAGGUCCCUAAAUGUACGUUAAGUGGUAAAGGAUGUGGGAUUGCACAGACAACCAGGAUGUUGGCUUAGAAGCAGCCACUCAUUUAAAGAGUGCGUAAUAGCUCACUGGUCGAGUGAUCCUGCGCCGAAAAUUUCCGGGGCUAAAACGUACUACCGAAGCUACGGCAUCAUUUAUGAUGGGUAGGAGAGCUUCCCAUACGGGUUGAAGCAUGACCGAAAGGACAUGUGGACUGUAUGGGAGUGAGAAUGUUGGCAUGAGUAGCGAGAUGUGGGUGAGAAUCCCACAGGCCGUAAACCCAAGGUUUCCAGGGGAAGGUUCGUCCGCCCUGGGUUAGUCAGGACCUAAGCCGAGGCCGAAAGGCGUAGGUGAUGGACAACAGGUUGAUAUUCCUGUACCACCAAUAACCGUUUGAGAAAUGGGAUGACACAGUAGGAUAAGCUAACCGCACUGUUGGUUAUGUGCGGGCAAGUAUUGAGGCAGUUCCGAUAGGCAAAUCCGUCGGAAUAAUGCUGGGGUACGAUGCGGAGCGAAAUUAAGUAGCGAAGUAGCUGAUUUCACACUGUCGAGAAAAGUCUCUAUCGAGGUUAAAGGUGCCUGUACCGCAAACCGACACAGGUGGGUGAGGAGAGUAUCCUAAGGCCAGCCAGAGAACUGUUGUUAAGGAACUCGGCAAAAUGACCCCGUAACUUAGGGAGAAGGGGUGCCUUCGAAAGAAGGCCGCAGAGAAUAGGCCCAAGCGACUGUUUACCAAAAACAUAGGUUUCUGCUAAGUCGCAAGACGAUGUAUAGGAGCUGACGCCUGCCCGGUGCUGGAAGGUUAAGGGGAUCUGUUAGAGCAAUCGAAGCAGUGAACUUAAGCCCCAGUAAACGGCGGCCGUAACUAUAACGGUCCUAAGGUAGCGAAAUUCCUUGUCGGGUAAGUUCCGACCCGCACGAAAGGCGUAACGAUUUGGGCACUGUCUCAACAACAGACUCGGUGAAAUUGUAAUACCGGUGAAGAUGCCGGUUACCUGCGACAGGACGGAAAGACCCCAUGGAGCUUUACUGUAGCUUGACAUUGAGUCUCGGUGCUACAUGUACAGGAUAGGUGGGAGACUAUGAAGCAUGGACGUCAGUCUGUGUGGAGUCAUCCUUGGGAUACCACCCUUGUAGUACUGGGAUUCUAACCAGAGGCCAUGAAUCUGGUCUUGGGACACUGUCAGGUGGACAGUUUGACUGGGGCGGUCGCCUCCCAAAAAGUAACGGAGGCGCUCAAAGGUUCUCUCAGUACGGUCGGAAAUCGUACGAAGAGUGUAAAGGCAAAAGAGAGCUUGAUUGCAAGACAUACAGGUCGAGCAAGGACGAAAGUCGGACUUAGUGAUCCGGUGGUUCCGCAUGGAAGGGCCAUCGCUCAACGGAUAAAAGCUACCCUGGGGAUAACAGGCUGAUCUCCCCCAA